CUACGUGCCAGCAGCCGCGGUAAUACGUAUGUCGCAAGCGUUAUCCGGAAUUAUUGGGCAUAAAGGGCAUCUAGGCGGCCAGAUAAGUCUGGGGUGAAAACUUGCGGCUCAACCGCAAGCCUGCCCUGGAAACUAUGUGGCUAGAGUACUGGAGAGGUGGACGGAACUGCACGAGUAGAGGUGAAAUUCGUAGAUAUGUGCAGGAAUGCCGAUGAUGAAGAUAGUUCACUGGACGGUAACUGACGCUGAAGUGCGAAAGCUAGGGGAGCAAACAGGAUUAGAUACCCUGGUAGUCCUAGCUGUAAACGAUGAUUACUGGGUGUGGGCAUGAAGAGUGUCCGUGCCGAAGCUAAUGCGAUAAGUAAUCCGCCUGGGGAGUACGGCCGCAAGGCUGAAACUCAAAGGAAUUGACGGGGACCCGCACAAGCGGUGGAGCAUGUGGUUUAAUUCGACGCAACGCGAGGAACCUUACCAGAUCUUGACAUCCCUCUGACCGUUCUAGAGAUAGAGCUUUC
RNAcentral lists this ribosomal RNA (515 nucleotides) under uncultured bacterium. Its description in RNAcentral is "bacterial SSU rRNA". It matches the Rfam family "Bacterial small subunit ribosomal RNA", at positions 501 to 1016 of the family's 1533-position model. The record is from RNAcentral.